CCAGGCUGGUCUCGAACUCCAGACCUCAAAUGAUCCACCUGCCUUGGCCUCUCGAAGUGCUGGGAUUGCAGGCAUGAGCCACCACGCCUGGCCUUCCUGGGACACCUUUACAGUGGGAAGCAAACAUUCACCAGAGCUGGGAGAAAAAAGCAUGCAAGAAUUGGAAUGAAGAGAUGCACUGGGCUGCUUCUGGACAAGCUGUCUGUCUAGGCAAGAGUCAGCAAAGGCAAGAAGAGACCAUUUCCUUCUCCAUUUCUCUUGGUUUCCUGGCUCUUCCCAAAUGUCCAGGGGAUCCUGAAGGGGGUGAAGGGUGGGGGUGGUAGGGGAAGUGUGUGCCUUGUGCCUUCUAAGGCAACCAUGUUGGCCAAAAGAAUCAAGCCAUGACAAUGGCCAUUGUGAAGACCCCGCAGCUUUCUGAGCAGAGAACACAGCGAAAGAGCUGUGUGGUUCCUGUCUCAGAGCAUAGCUUUCCUUUCUCUAAGGCAAUGGUCUCCAAACUUUUCUUCAAGAAUUCCUAUCAGUAAAGUAAAAAUAAAAUUGAGGACAUACUAUGCAUAUAUACAUAUGUGCAUAUGUACUUUAUGUGUGCUACUGAAUUAAUAUAUCAUAUGUGUUAUAAAACACACAAAAUAGAAACUAGGUAACUGAGAUGAACUGAUAGGUUUAUAUUUUCCUCCCUCUUCCCAGUGGAUUGCCUUGCAUCAUGGCCAGGGUGUGUGCAUUCAACUUUGGCAGUCUUGGCCUGAGUGACAGAAUACUGGAAGGUCCUAAUAAGCUUCUCCAAUGAGCAUAGGCAGUGAUGGAACCAAACCAUCAAAAUGAGCUCUUCAAAGAAGAACCCAGGUUUUCCUCUUCAGCUGCAUAUGAUCAAUUCUAAUUAAAUGGUAAAGGAAAGAAGAAUAGAAGGAAAGAAUUCUUGAAAAUCUGGUAACUAACAUGGAAGCUGUGCUUUAUAUCAGGUUAUGUGAGUAAUCUUGAUCUGUCUACAAGCUCAAAGUUUCUAUCCAAAUAUAUUUAUCUGGAUCCGAGGCAGGAUCACUGCCAGGCUCUGUCACCUGCUCAGGAGAGUCACCUACCCAGUAUACAAGGGGAUAACCACAGGGCACACCGAAGCCAUUGCAGAACUUCCCAAGCUUGGGUCAGGCCUCCUGACUCUACACACGCACGUGUACUCCACCCAUUCCCAGCCUCCCAGCUUUCUUGACAAGUACCCAAGGAGGAUGGUUCUUGUCAACUCAUUGAUAAGGUCAUGGUAUUGUGGAGCAGGAGCUAACCUGUGUUCUAUUUUCAGCUCUCUUGUUAGCUGUGUGAGCUUGGGCAAGUGCCUCACCUUCUCUGAACCUGAGUUUUUGCAUCUGUUUAGGCCAUGAUAUUACCCUGCCUACCCCACAGUGUUAUCACGAAAUUCACAUGAACACACAUAUGAAGGUGCUUUGCAAACACUGUACAAGUGAAAUUGUAAGGUAUCCUGACUCAUGUGCUAAGGCCUUUUCAAGGCACAAGGACAAAUGUUUCCCAGGGAUCCUAUAGUUAGCCACUCUGAGGCAUUUUCCCUUAGGAGCCCAGCCCUGAGGGAAACUGGCUCAUGGCAGAUUUUUAAUCCGAACCCAGAGCUCUGGAGGCUUUAUAAUCCUAAAGACUAAACCAGGUGAACAACAAAAACAUCCAUAAAGCAAUUUGGGUAAAUUUCCAUGCUUCCAGGUAAUGCCUAGGUUUCUAAGGGGUUGCAUUUGUUUGUUCAGUCAUUCAAGAAUUUAUAGAUCAUCUUAACUCUGAGAUAAAGUGAAAAAAAGAGCUCAUGUUCCAGCAGAUGAGAAAGACAUGGAAACAGUCAUUGCAAGACACUGACAGGAGCCACAAACCAGGUAUGCAUUACAAUGGGCUUUGGAACACUGGGAGGCUUAAAUAAAUCGAGUUAAGUGACUUAUGAAAGAAUAGGAGUUCAGGCAUGGCCAGCAGGGGCAAAAGACAUUCAAGAAAGAGGAAAAGAAGUGCAGAGAUCAGGAGUGGGGCUGAGGGGUAAGGAGGGGUAGAGAACAGCAUGAUUUUCUGGGAACUGUAAGGGAUUUAAUAAGUCUUGAAUGUAACAUAAGGAAGAAGAGGGGUAGACAGUAAGCAUAGAAAGUAAGCAGAAGCCAGAUCAUGGUGGAAGUGGGGUGGCAGCAGGUCUCCCAAGCCAGUAGAAAGUGGAAAAGGGCAGGUGCUCUGCCCUCAAACCCACCCCAUUUUCCAUAGGAGGACCAGGAAGAUAUCUGGGAAGAAGAGACGUACCUAAAAGAAAUUUUUUUCUUGAAAAGCCAUUUAUGCCAUGUACUGGGCAACAUAAACUCCCUUUGUGCCUCCAAAAAUCUUUAGAGAAAUUUCAAAAAAGUUAUGAUGUGUGUGGUAUAAUUGCUUUUAUUGUUAUAGCUAGUUUAGAGGCUGAAUUUUGUAUUAAGGAUAGCUCAGAAUCAGCUCAUGCUGAUAAAGAGGGAACUGACCUCUGAGUUUUUAAAUCAUGCCCUGUAAUGAAUAGUUCAUGUUCCUGACAAAGUAAUCAAAUUCAUUAACUAGCUUUAGUCCUAGUAGGAGCCCCUUUAUUUCAGGAAUUGACAUCAAGCCUAAUCUGUUCCAGGAGGAAUGAAUCUCCUCCAUUGAGCAUAUGCUUACCAAGUGCCUAUCACACUUACCAUAUACAGAUAUGAAGAAACCUCAGUAAGACUAAAUUCUAUAUUGAGGGACUGUUCACCUUUUUUUGCCCACUCAGGAUACCAGGCAUCUAAUAGGAAGGCUGGGCCCAUUCAGUCCAGAUUUAUAACAACUCCUCAAGGAAUCUGUGAAACCAACUGCAAGUACUUGUUGAGACUAAGCCAACAUUCUUUGCAGUAAGAACCAGAGAAAUUUUAUUCUCUGUGCUUAACAACAAAGGACUUCAAGAAUUGCUUCUGUCUCUCCUUCAUGAGAAAAGUGGCUGGCAAUCACUCUUAACCUGUCUAGUUGAAGGCAUAGCUCUGGUCUGAUCUAGGUCACCAUUGGGCUUCCUGUGCUGUCAUCUGCUGCCUCUUGCCGCAGAUUCCUGGUGGUAUGUCUCAGCCUUUGCAUGAAACACAACCAUGAAACACUAAGUGCCAAUCAUUUCCUAUAAACUGCUUUGAUUUCCUCCAUGAAGCUCUUUUAAAAAAUCUGGUAUUGUGGUAUUUAUAGCUUCCUGUUUCUGCCACCUACAUAUUCUGAUGGUUGUUGUGCUUUCUCUUUGGAGAUAGAUAAACAUUCACAGCACCAAAGGGAGUAAGGGCUUUGUACCUUUUUUCAUGGAAAGAGUUAGUCAUAUUUAGAUUGAAGUUAUAGCUUAAAAAGGAGCCCUCGUUGUAUAGAAACAUGGAUGCCAUGACACCUCCAGUGCAAUAUUUUUAAGCCUCUCCCUGCCAUUGGUCACUUACAUAGUACUGUUAAAUCACUCUGUGGAAUAUUGUUUCUAUCUUCUAGAAGCUCACAAUCUAUGUCAGAAGAUUAGACAUGCAAGUGUCUGUUGAAGUAGCUGGAGAGUGAGGCAGGAGGAGUGGAAGGAUGGCCAGCAGCAUGGAACCCACAAGGGGAGAUUUCACAGAGGAGCCUCAAUGGUGUGGGGGGUCAGGAAGAAAAAGGACCAGACAGCUGUGAAUUUUGUUUCCAGGACAUAAAUAGGGGAUUUCUAGCAAAUACACCCAGGUGAGUGUGUAGAACGGGCAGUCAGAUGCAAGGGGUAAAGGAGGCGGAGAGGGAGCAAAGCCAUCUAGAAAGAUUGUUCCUUCAACAUGUGCAGUGAAAGAAAUCAUGGCAAAGGGAAAGCCAGGAUUAGGUUGUUUGGCAGGAUGCUGCAGUAGGCAUACUCAGGGGCUUCUGCUCUACCUGCUCUCCCUUCUCACAAUCUACCCCUACCCACAUGCCUGCUGAGUGGAAAGGGAAUUGGUUAUCCCAACGGUUAUUCCAAUCUCCUGGCCUUGGGUGAUUGGACCAAGAUGAGCACCUGAUUUGAGGAGGGCCAACCUAAGUUUCCAAUGACAUGUCACCUGACUGACUGGCCUCAAAAAGAUGAAUAUGGAACAAUCAGAUUCGUUCUCAUAGGAAGCCCAAACCAAGAGGCACAGAGAGGAGAUGCCCUUCAGGAAUGGAUCCUUGAGAUGAAAAUCAAGUUGAUGAGAAUAAAGUGGCUGUUAUCAGGUCGUGUGUAUGCAUAAGUCAUGGGGAACCACAGGAAGUAGCUGGGAAAGAGAGAACAACAGAUACAGGGAAGAAAGUGGAGAAGCCGGGAAUGAGAAAGAGCGAUCACCUCUAGCAUUUCCUGUAUGCCAAGUGCUGCACUAAGUCCCUAAGUCCUUUACAUUAAAUUACCUUAUUUAUUUCUCAUAGCAAUCUUAUGACAUGGAUGCUAUGAUUAUCCUCAUUUUACAGAUAAGAAACCAAGGCAUAAACAUAGUGUGCCCAAAAUGACUCUUGGGAAAGCCAUGAUGUAUACUAAAUAGACUGGCUCCCUAUUUAGUUUUUUUUUUUUUUAGUUUUAUAAGUGCUUGCUUGUAGCCACCAUGAAUUACCACCUCUCAAAAGGGAGAUGAGAUAGAAGUGAUCCCUGAAGCCAUCUGACACCCAACCUUUCCUAAACUCAGGUACUUAGAGUUAUUGGAUUUUCCAGAGAUCACCUGACCUCAUGAUCCUGAAUGGGUUUCAGUUCCUGGCAACCAAAAGAACCCUAACCCAACUGGAUAAGGAAAUUGAGCAUUCUGGGUGGGAGAGAAUGAUGUUAUACAAGGGAGUGUUGAUGAUGCUGACCCACCUAUGAGGAAGCACAAAGCGAUGGGAUGCAUGGAUAUGGAGAGAUUUUUCUUCUCUGUUAGCCAAGACUAUCCAGCUUAGUUUUACCAUCCGGCACCCACAGCACCACAUGGUAAGCCAACUAGAUAACCAAACCCACAGGGAGUGGCACAUAACCCAGCAGCCGUGCCCUUCCAGCUGGCUCUGCCACCAGUGCAAGGUGAGGUUGGUCCUGUUAUGUCUCCUCCCUUCCAAGCCUUCAUUUAUCUGUCAAUAGAAAGGGGAUGAUGACAAAAGAUGGAGAGAAUUUGACUUGCUAGGACUCUGGGGGAGGCUGGGGAAAUGCAGAUUACCAUGAUGGGGCUGCCCCCGGGGGCAGCCAGACCCAGGUUUUCCAGAGAUGGUCUCACAGAGGGAGAUUGGCAUGCAAGAAGUUUACCAGGGAAGGUUCUCAGGGUCAGCACUUGUGAGCGUAGAGAGGCAACAGGACAUUGAGCAGAGGGGGAAGUGGCAGCACAGUCAUCAGCCAGUUCCAUGGGAAACUGGAACUGGGGUGGCCUUUCACAUUGCCCCAAAGGGAGGCAUAAGGGCUACGCUUUGUACCCCACCUCCCAUGGAGAAGUCACUGGGUGUAGGAUGCCCUGUUGGUGAGGCAGCUCCCUUCAGUCUGGGGCAGUUCCUGGGGAAGGGCUCAGCUGUGAGAGCUUCUGGGGGCAACAUCCCAUGCAGAUAGAAGAUGGUCUCCUCGGUCCUGAAGGGGAGCUGAGCAGGGCAGCACACCAUCAGCUGCACACGAGAGCUGGGCCACACUUCCCAGGGGCCAAAUAAACAGGGGAGCCCCAGCUCUGGGGAAGAUGAAGGGCUGAGGGUCAGGAGGAGGUCGCAGAAGGCUGUUGCACGUGGAAACCAUCCGGAAGUUAAGUGACCAGGGAAAAUGCUGCUUGUGAGUGUGUGGAGACUGUAAAAGGAUGGACUUCUGUAGCUGGUCUGAGGCCAGCAGGCCUGAGGAACUUAGCAAGGAGUCAGAGAGAAGCUGGUGACAAAAAAGUAGGAAAUUGUAGGAAGGCUGUAGAAUUAAGAGUUUGGGCCAAGUUAACCUAAACCAUUUGUGUCAUAUUAGAGAAGGGUACUUUUCCCAGCACUCAGCUGGGUUUUGAGGAUUUCGGACCUUAAAGAGCAGAAUACAUCUAUUCCCAGGCCAUGCCAGGGGCUGUUGAAAGAGGUCCUGAGAACUGUGCCAGGCCUGAUUCAGGUAACAGGAAGAGAUGUGGGAGAGGAUAAGCCUCCGACCAAAACAGCUUCACUUCAGAGAGUUAAGGGAGUUUUAUAGACUGAAUCAUGUCCUCCCCAGAGUCAUACACUGAAGCCCUAAUUCUAGCAUGACCAUCUGCAAGCCAAGGAGAGAGGCCUCAGGAGAAACCAACCCCGAUGACACCUUGAUCUUGGAAUUCCAGCGUCCAGAACUGUUGUUUAAGCGCCUCCAGUCUGUGGGAUUUUGCUAUGGCAGCCUAAGCUAAGACAGGGAGACAGGCCACCCACCAGCUGAGAAGGUGGGUGCCAGAAGCAAAGCCAACCCGUGUGUCCUCACCUCGCUCUCCCUGCUCUUUCCUGAUCCACAGUCUCUGACUCUGGAGGGGACUGCUCAGUGGCCAGCAGAUGCCUGGCAGAGGCACAUCUUCCCCACUACAUGUGAACCCUGGACCUAUGUAAAAUGCCAGAAAUCAGGAGCUCCCGGGUUACUUUGCACAUCUGCAAGCACCAACUUCUGGUCCGGCUGCAUGCACUUGACUCGGAGGGAAAGGAGCAGCUUCACACAUGGGUCUCCUCGUCCCCCGCUGCUGGCCUGGCUAUCGCCAAUGUCACUGACCUGAAUUCAGUUUUCAAAGGAAAUGUGUUUCAUGGUGAUUCUUUUGGUUCCAGUUCAGAACUUGGAUAAAAAAUAUGCUCCAAUUUAAGAAAAAUAGUCAAUUCGCAAAUCAAAACUGAAAUCUAGAAAGGUGAAAGAGUUGACUCUCUGGGCCUCCUUAUCUGAAAAAUGAGGCAGUUGCACUAGAUUUGUAGGUUUUCUUUAAAAGUUUUUUUUUUUAACCACAAGAAAACUUUCUUCAAAAGAAAUGUUACCAGGAAGCAGAAACAAAAGAGGGGCAUAAGGGUUGAGCUGCUUGAUCAAAAGGGGAGAGAAAGGUUGAGUUCCAGAAUCCUGCCCUCCAAGGCACGGCUUUGCAAAGCAGAGUCUAAAAGGCAUUUUACUCUCAUUGCCUACAUGCUCCUCCAGCCUCCUGUCUGAGGAUCCAUGAAGAGUCAGUAUUCCCACACACCCGGUUGUAUACCCACCAGGCACCUCGGAACCAGUCACUGAGAACAUGGGCCAUGCAAAGAAGGGAGCACGUACAGGGCUCAGCAGGGGCGAGCAAGCCUGGGUCCAGGUGAGCUUCUUUAGCUCCUUCUCCCAGAUUCUCCAUCCAGGAGCCAACACUGACCACAGGGAGAGGGAGGGCUGGGUGGGGAGAGAGCCAGGGGAGGUGGGCCUACUGAAAUUCCUCCACAUAAAAACAAGAGGUGUGGCUCCAAAGUGGCACAUCUUGUCACAAAGAAGGUGGAAGCAGCAGAUGAGAAUUCGCUCACCUCCCAAGGCCAAAACCACUUGGAAUAAAGAAAAUGUGGUACCUACACACCAUGGAAUAUACUAUGCAACCAUAAAAAAGAAUGAGAUCAUGUCCUUUGCAGGGACAUGGAUGAAGCUGGAAGCCAUCAACCUCAGCAAAAUAACACAGGAACAGAAAACCAAAGACUGCAUGUUGCCACUCAUAAGUAGGAGCUGAACAAUGAGAACACAUGGACACAGGGAGGGGAACAACACAUACCGGGGCCUGUUAGGGGGGCGUGGCAAGGGGAGGGAGAGCAUCAGGACAAAUAGCUAAUGCACACUAGCUUAAUACCUAGGUGACCGAUUGAUAGAUGCAGGAAACAACCGUGGCACACAUUUACCUAUGUAACAAACCUGCACAUUCUGCACAUGUAUCCCAGAACUUAAAGUAAAAUAAAAUUUAAAAAAAAAAACCA
Molecule: long non-coding RNA, 7830 nt
Organism: Homo sapiens (human)
Lineage: Eukaryota; Metazoa; Chordata; Mammalia; Primates; Hominidae
Exons: 2
Source: RefSeq, a predicted model, not a curated record